RNAcentral lists this unclassified non-coding RNA (246 nucleotides) under Hevea brasiliensis (rubber tree). The record is from RNAcentral. Lineage: Eukaryota; Viridiplantae; Streptophyta; Magnoliopsida; Malpighiales; Euphorbiaceae.
UGCCGCUGGGAUUUAUACAACAAGGUAAUGUUAAACUUAUUUGGAUUCCUGUGUUUGUGGUGUGGGCUUUUGAUUUGGAAGUUGAGGAAACCGUUUUGCCUAGGGUCAACGUAGAUUUGAAUAUGAGUUCCUAUAAAUAAUAGGGAUUUGUUUUCAUAUGCUGGGGAAGGAUAUUUGCCUUGAUUAUCACUGGUUUACUUGAUUAGCUUAGAUUUAAAUAGCUGACCUAGGACAUUAUUAGCCUUG